CUCCAUUUGGGUUGGUAGUCCAAUGACGUCUAUAAAAGCGGAGUUAAUUAUUUGAAAGUUUCAUCUAAUUUUUUUCCUUUGUAGCAAACUCGAAGUAGUAAACGGGGUAACCUUCUGAUGAUCCUCUCACCUCCUUUACUUUUUUAAUGUAUGAAAAAUAACUAUAUUUCACUGCUUACUCGAAUAUACUUAUUCCACAAACUUAAAAUUGUUACAUAAAUAGAUUCUCAUUUAUCUUUGUUCUAUAUGUGUCUAUAAAUUAAACUACUUCCCGAUAGUCGCAAGAAUUGUUUGGCCAUGUGAAAACAAUCAAAACAUACUUAGUAGUUGUUGUAGAAAAUAACAGAACAGUUCGCAAGUAAAUAUAUGAUGACUAAACCUUUUCAUCGAUGAAUAUCAUACCGGCAUACUUAGUAGUUAAAACAAACAAUAGAACAAUCUGCUAAUAAAUAUGCAAUGGCUAAACCUUUUCAUCUAUGAAUAUCAUGCCGAGGUUCCAGAGCCAUUUAAUUGUAGGAUUGAUUGAAUUUCAUAUUCUCAUUACUUGCACUUGAAUACAUAGUUUCAUCCUCCUGUUGUGAACUCGCUAUGCUUGUUAUAUGCCAUUGCUGCAAAAGGAUCACAAAAUCGCUAGGGAAUUAUUAAUAAUGCACCUAUGAAGAUUGUAUGCAGAAUAACAAUUACAAACCUUGAUGAUUCAGGUGAGAGGCUACUCAGAAGGUAGAUUGGAUCCAGAAUAACAAUUGCAAACCUUGAUGAUUCAGGUGAGUCACUCAGAAGGUUGCCAUGACUACAUCGGCGUUGCAUAGUUGAAUCGGAAGACUUUGAUUGCCAAGGUAGAUUGGAUCCAGAAUAACAAUUAGAAACCUUUAUGACUCAGGUGAGAAGCCACUCAGAAGGUUGCUUGGGCGUCACUACAUCUGGCUUGGUGACAUUACGUAGUUGAAUUGGAAGACUGAUUUUGUUGGUAGUGUGCUAGCUAGGUAGUAGAUUUGGCUGACUUCAAUUUUUGGGCAUGUGCUGGGUGCGGUUGCAUGUAUGUGUUUUUAUGUGCCGUGUUUGCCUUGGCAAGUCAUGUUUGUAGUCCGUAUACACGUCUUAUUUGCAUGUGUGUCCGAGUUUGAAAAAAAAUGAUGUCCUUAUUUGCUUAGGUUCCUUAUUUAUUUAUUUAUUUAUUUAUUUAGGUUUGACUACUAUUUUUAUCCUAAUUACAAUAUAAUUGUUUUUAUCCUAAUUACACAUGAUGGAACAUGGAUGUGUUGGUCCGUUAUAUGCACGUACACGUUAUAUGAACGUACACGUGACAACACAACUUUUCUCGUUUACGUGUUG
This 1332-nucleotide long non-coding RNA is filed under the name Triticum aestivum (bread wheat). RNAcentral's name for it is "long non-coding RNA (TAES_LNC022559)". The record is from RNAcentral. Lineage: Eukaryota; Viridiplantae; Streptophyta; Magnoliopsida; Poales; Poaceae.